RNAcentral lists this ribosomal RNA (257 nucleotides) under uncultured bacterium. RNAcentral's name for it is "partial 16S ribosomal RNA". It matches the Rfam family "Bacterial small subunit ribosomal RNA", at positions 524 to 779 of the family's 1533-position model. The record is from RNAcentral.
UACGAAGGGGGCUAGCGUUGCUCGGAAUGACUGGGCGUAAAGCGCACGUAGGCGGAUCUUUAAGUCAGAGGUGAAAUCCCAAGGCUCAACCUUGGAACUGCCUUUGAUACUGGGGAUCUCGAGUCCGGAAGAGGUUGGUGGAACUGCGAGUGUAGAGGUGAAAUUCGUAGAUAUUCGCAAGAACACCAGUGGCGAAGGCGGCCAACUGGUCCGGUACUGACGCUGAGGUGCGGAAAGCGUGGGGAGCAAACAGGGAU